GACGAACCGUGCGAACGUUGUUCGGAUUCACUGGGCUUAAAGGGCGCGUAGGCGGACGGUCAAGUCAGGGGUGAAAUCCUCCAGCUCAACUGGAGAAGUGCCUUUGAUACUGGUCGUCUCGAGGGAGGUAGGGGCAUGUGGAACUUCCGGUGGAGCGGUGAAAUGCGUAGAUAUCGGAAGGAACGCCGGUGGCGAAAGCGCCGUGCUGGACCUCUUCUGACGCUGAGGCGCGAAAGCUAGGGGAGCAAACGGG
This 253-nucleotide ribosomal RNA is filed under the name uncultured bacterium. Its description in RNAcentral is "partial 16S ribosomal RNA". It matches the Rfam family "Bacterial small subunit ribosomal RNA", at positions 524 to 776 of the family's 1533-position model. The record is from RNAcentral.